Small nucleolar RNA from Drosophila melanogaster (fruit fly), 155 nucleotides. Lineage: Eukaryota; Metazoa; Arthropoda; Insecta; Diptera; Drosophilidae. The record is from Ensembl.
AGUGCAGCGAUUAUAACUGCAAAUCGAGUUCUACUGGCUUGUUUGCAGAACUCAAUGUUGCAAGAUUAAUUUGUGAUGCGCAGGGAAAUGCACUUCACCGAUUGCAAUUCAAAUUGCAGUCACGUGGUCGAGAUUCCAUUGCAGUCUCAACAAAU